RNAcentral lists this ribosomal RNA (732 nucleotides) under uncultured bacterium. RNAcentral's name for it is "bacterial SSU rRNA". It matches the Rfam family "Bacterial small subunit ribosomal RNA", at positions 99 to 818 of the family's 1533-position model. The record is from RNAcentral.
CGUAAGGGUGAGUAAUGGAUAGGUAACGUACCCUGUGCUCCGGAAUAGCGUCAGUUUGCCUUCGGGCAAACAUCCGAAAGGGGCGGUAAUACCGGAUAAUAUCAUGUGUCGAUGGGCACAUGAUCAAAGAUUUAUCGGCAUAGGAGCGGCCUUUUUCUUAUCAGCUUGUUGGUGAGGUAAUGGCUCACCAAGGCUAUGACGGGUAGCGGGACUGAGAGGUUGGUCCGCCACAUCGGGACUGAGACACUGCCCGGACCUCCACGGAGGGCUGCAGUAACGAAUCUUGCGCAAUGGGCGAAAGCCUGACGCAGCGACGCCGCGUGUAGGAGGAAGUCCCUCGGGAUGUAAACUACUGUCAGGGGGAAGAAAGUCCGCUUCGGCGGAUUGAUCUAACCCAGAGGAAGUCACGGCUAACUUCGUGCCAGCAGCCGCGGUAAGACGAAGGUGACAAGCGUUGUUCGGUAUUACUGGGCUUAAAGCGUGUGUAGGCGGAAAUGUAAGCGUCAGGUGAAAUCCCCCGGCUUAACCGGGGAACUGCUUGACGAACUGCUUUUCUUGAGGCAAGUAGGGGUGCACGGAACUCUUGGUGGAGCGGUGAAAUGCGUAGAUAUCAAGAGGAACGCCGGUGGAGAAAUCGGUGCACUGGGCUUGUCCUGACGCUGAGACACGAAAGCGUGGGGAGCGAACGGGAUUAGAUACCCCGGUAGUCCACGCCGUAAACGAUGUCUACUA